Molecule: unclassified non-coding RNA, 397 nt
Filed under: Hevea brasiliensis (rubber tree)
Lineage: Eukaryota; Viridiplantae; Streptophyta; Magnoliopsida; Malpighiales; Euphorbiaceae
Source: RNAcentral
UUCAUGCGGAAUUUCACAAUUACGGUCAAUCACUCUGAUCUGAUCAAUUGUUCUAACAUCAGGAGAAAGUCCACCAUGGACACAUAAUACUGUUCCGUCUAUGAUUGCCGAGAGAGUAAGAUAGUCAAAAACAUCAGUGCAGUACCGCCAUGCAUUCGCAUUUCCAUACUUCCUUUGACACUCAUCAUAGAAUCCAUAGACCUGUGUUAGUUGCCUGCUCUCGUGAUUUCCACGUAAAAGAGUAAUGUUGGCUGGGUAUCUUGCUUUAAGGAGCAACAAAAUUGUAAAAACUUCUAAACUAUUGUAUCCACGGUCAACAAAAUCUCCCAUGAAAAUGUAAUUUGUAUCAGGUACAUGACCUCCAGUCUGGAAGAGUUUCAUUAGAUCAUGAAACUGG